GGUGAAUUCAGAAACUGAGGUAUUUUCCUAGUCCCUGUUAUGACCAGGUGCCACUGGGUGUGGCGGAGAAGGCGUUCUCAGGUUGAAAAGGAUGGAGGAGGGACGGAGGACCCCAUCAGUCAGGCGGGCAGUCGAUUGCAUUUGGCUUGGAAGUGAGUCCAAUAAUGCAAUGGCUGAAGAACAAGGGUGUUUCAGAGUAGCUGGAUGGAUGUCUUGGAUUUUAAUUGUAACUCUGACGAUUUGGAGUGAUCGUGGUAACGGACAAGGUCAAGAUGACAUUGCUGAGUGAAGGGCAAGCUGAAGAAAAUGCUUGUUUAAUUUGCAGUGAGGCAGCUUGCUGAUGGAAAGACUAGUAGAAGCAGUUCAGUGUCAUGUACUCAUAACUUGUUAAGUCUGAUAUCUUCAAUAGUUAUGUUCUGAACAAGCCAAGAAUUUAUGCUACAGUCUGUAAAUUGUUCACAGGCUAAUUACGAUUGGCAUGAAACUUUUAGGGUGAGAUUCAAAGUUCUACCCAGGCCAUUAACUGUAUGACACCAUUGUGAUGGAAACACA
RNAcentral lists this long non-coding RNA (552 nucleotides) under Podarcis muralis (Common wall lizard). Its description in RNAcentral is "lncRNA (ENSPMRG00000001493.1)". The record is from RNAcentral. Lineage: Eukaryota; Metazoa; Chordata; Lepidosauria; Squamata; Lacertidae.